Non-coding RNA from Danio rerio (zebrafish), 74 nucleotides. The record is from Rfam. NCBI's taxonomy places the organism in Eukaryota, Metazoa, Chordata, Actinopteri, Cypriniformes, Danionidae.
GGCCGGUUAGCUCAGCUGGUUAGAGCGAAGUGCUAAUAACGCCAAGGGCGCGGGUUCGAUCUCCGUACUGGCCA